GUGUAAGCCGCCUCGGUAAUACGUAGGUGUCACUCGUUAUCCGGAAUUAUUGGGCGUAAAGCGCGCGUAGGCGGUUUCUUAAGUCUGAUGUGAAAGCCCACGGCUCAACCGUGGAGGGUCAUUGGAAACUGGAAAACUUGAGUGCAGAAGAGGAAAGUGGAAUUCCAUGUGUAGCGGUGAAAUGCGCAGAGAUAUGGAGGAACACCAGUGGCGAAGGCGACUUUCUGGUCUGUAACUGACGCUGAUGUGCGAAAGCGUGGGGAUCAAACAGGAUUAGAUAACCCUGUAGUCC
Molecule: ribosomal RNA, 292 nt
Filed under: uncultured prokaryote
Description: partial 16S ribosomal RNA
Rfam family: Bacterial small subunit ribosomal RNA
Source: RNAcentral